Molecule: transfer RNA, 77 nt
Filed under: Clostridiales bacterium KA00134
Lineage: Bacteria; Bacillati; Bacillota; Clostridia; Eubacteriales
Also listed under: 1 other name
Description: tRNA-Pro
Rfam family: tRNA
About the family: Transfer RNA (tRNA) molecules are approximately 80 nucleotides in length. Their secondary structure includes four short double-helical elements and three loops (D, anti-codon, and T loops).
Source: RNAcentral
CGGGGCGUAGCGCAGUUUGGUAGCGCACAUGGUUUGGGACCAUGGGGCCGGGGGUUCAAAUCCUCUCGCCCCGACCA